AGAAGUGGAUCAAAGGCUAAAAACGCCACAUCCUGUGGCAACGCCUUUGUGACUCCCAUCGUGUGAG
RNAcentral lists this small RNA (67 nucleotides) under Salibacterium qingdaonense. RNAcentral describes it as "Bacillus qingdaonensis Bacillaceae-1 RNA". It matches the Rfam family "Bacillaceae-1 RNA". Lineage: Bacteria; Bacillati; Bacillota; Bacilli; Caryophanales; Bacillaceae. The record is from Rfam by way of RNAcentral.